CCUACGGGAGGCAGCAGUGAGGAAUAUUGGUCAAUGGGCGAGAGCCUGAACCAGCCAAGUCGCGUGAAGGAUGAAGGAUCUAUGGUUUGUAAACUUCUUUUAUAUGGGAAUAAAGUGAGGAACGUGUUCCUUUUUGUAUGUACCAUAUGAAUAAGCAUCGGCUAACUCCGUGCCAGCAGCCGCGGUAAUACGGAGGAUGCGAGCGUUAUCCGGAUUUAUUGGGUUUACAGGGUGCGUAGGUGGUGAAUUAAGUCAGCGGUGAAAGUUUGUGGCUCAACCAUAAAAUUGCCGUUGAAACUGGUAGACUUGAGUAUAUUGGAGGUAGGCGGAAGGCGUGGUGUAGCGGUGAAAUGCAUAGAUAUCAUGCAGAACUCCGAUUGCGAAGGCAGCUUACUAAACUAUAACUGACACUGAAGCACGAAAGCGUGGGGAUCAAACAGGAUUAGAUACCCUAGUAGUC
Molecule: ribosomal RNA, 460 nt
Filed under: uncultured bacterium
Lineage: Bacteria
Description: partial 16S ribosomal RNA
Rfam family: Bacterial small subunit ribosomal RNA
Source: RNAcentral